This 382-nucleotide ribosomal RNA is filed under the name uncultured bacterium. RNAcentral's name for it is "bacterial SSU rRNA". It matches the Rfam family "Bacterial small subunit ribosomal RNA", at positions 440 to 840 of the family's 1533-position model. The record is from RNAcentral.
CGGGGACGAUAAUGACGGUACCCGGAGAAGAAGCCCCGGNUAACUUCGUGCCANCAGCCGCGGUAAUACNAAGGGGGCUAGCGUUGCUCGGAAUUACUGGGCGUAAAGGGAGCGUAAGCGGACNUUUAAGUCAGGGGUGAAAUCCCGGGGCUCAACCUCGGAAUUGCCUUUGAUACUGGGUGUCUUGAGUAUGANAGAGGUGUGUGGAACUCCGAGUGUAGAGGUGAAAUUCNUANAUAUUCGGAAGAACACCAGUGGCGAAGGCGACACACUGGCUCAUUACUGACGCUGAGGCUCGAAAGCGUGGGGAGCAAACAGGAUUAGAUACCCUGGUAGUCCACGCCGUAAACGAUGAUUGCUAGUUGUCGGGAUGCAUGCAUUU